AUUGAACGCUGGCGGCAUGCCUUACACAUGCAAGUCGAACGGCAGCACGGGAGCAAUCCUGGUGGCGAGUGGCGAACGGGUGAGUAAUAUAUCGGAACGUGCCCAGUAGUGGGGGAUAACUGCUCGAAAGAGCAGCUAAUACCGCAUACGACCUGAGGGUGAAAGGGGGGAUCGCAAGACCUCUCGCUAUUGGAGCGGCCGAUAUCAGAUUAGCUAGUUGGUGGGGUAAAGGCCUACCAAGGCAACGAUCUGUAGUUGGUCUGAGAGGACGACCAGCCACACUGGGACUGAGACACGGCCCAGACUCCUACGGGAGGCAGCAGUGGGGAAUUUUGGACAAUGGGCGCAAGCCUGAUCCAGCAAUGCCGCGUGCAGGAAGAAGGCCUUCGGGUUGUAAACUGCUUUGUUCAGGGAA
Molecule: ribosomal RNA, 415 nt
Filed under: uncultured bacterium
Lineage: Bacteria
Description: bacterial SSU rRNA
Rfam family: Bacterial small subunit ribosomal RNA
Source: RNAcentral